RNAcentral lists this transfer RNA (73 nucleotides) under Ovis aries (sheep). It matches the Rfam family "tRNA". From Rfam's summary of the family: Transfer RNA (tRNA) molecules are approximately 80 nucleotides in length. Lineage: Eukaryota; Metazoa; Chordata; Mammalia; Artiodactyla; Bovidae. The record is from Rfam by way of RNAcentral.
UCGCUGGUGGUCCAGCAGUUAAGCCUCUGCACUCCCAAUGCAGGGAGCACAGGUUCGAUCCCUGGUUAGGGAA